UGCAGCGUGCAGGAUGAAGGCCUUCGGGUUGUAAACUGCUUUUGUCAGGGACGAAAAGGACCGUGUUAAUACCAUGGUCUGCUGACGGUACCUGAAGAAUAAGCACCGGCUAACUACGUGCCAGCAGCCGCGGUAAUACGUAGGGUGCAAGCGUUAAUCGGAAUUACUGGGCGUAAAGCGUGCGCAGGCGGUUCUGUAAGACAGAUGUGAAAUCCCCGGGCUCAACCUGGGAAUUGCAUUUGUGACUGCAGGACUAGAGUUCAUCAGAGGGGGGUGGAAUUCCAAGUGUAGCAGUGAAAUGCGUAGAUAUUUGGAAGAACACCAAUGGCGAAGGCAGCCCCCUGGGAUGCGACUGACGCUCAUGCACGAAAGCGUGGGGAGCAAGCAGGAUUAGAUACCCUGGUAGUCCACGCCCU
This 416-nucleotide ribosomal RNA is filed under the name uncultured bacterium. Its description in RNAcentral is "bacterial SSU rRNA". It matches the Rfam family "Bacterial small subunit ribosomal RNA", at positions 395 to 803 of the family's 1533-position model. The record is from RNAcentral.